RNAcentral lists this ribosomal RNA (423 nucleotides) under uncultured bacterium. Its description in RNAcentral is "bacterial SSU rRNA". It matches the Rfam family "Bacterial small subunit ribosomal RNA", at positions 358 to 773 of the family's 1533-position model. The record is from RNAcentral.
GGAAUUUUGGACAAUGGGGGCAACCCUGAUCCAGCCAUUCCGCGUGAGUGAAGAAGGCCUUCGGGUUGUAAAGCUCUUUUGUCCGGAACGAAACGGGUGGCGUGAAUAUCGCCAUCUACUGACGGUACCGGAAGAAUAAGCAACGGCUAACUACGUGCCAGCAGCCGCGGUAAUACGUAGGUUGCGAGCGUUGUCCGGAUUGACUGGGCGUAAAGCGCGCGCAGGCGGUUCCGAAAGUCGAAUGUGAAAGCUCCCGGCCCAACUGGGAGAGGCCGUUCGAAACUUCGGGACUUGAAGGCGGGAGAGGCAGAUGGAAUUUCCGGUGUAGCGGUAAAAUGCGUAGAUACCGGAAGGAACACCAGUGGCGAAAGCGAUCUGCUGGCCCGCCCUUGACGCUCAGGCGCGAAAGCUAGGGGAGCGACC